Long non-coding RNA from Scomber japonicus (chub mackerel), 134 nucleotides. RefSeq lists it as uncharacterized. The record is from RefSeq and is a predicted model, not a curated record. Lineage: Eukaryota; Metazoa; Chordata; Actinopteri; Scombriformes; Scombridae. The transcript has 4 exons.
UACCAAGGCGAUAAGGGUUCUGCUGGUGUUCCCGGUCCUACUGGUCCAAGAGGAAAACCUGGACCACCGGGCAAAAUUGGUGAGAUGGGGGCACAAGGACCACCUGGGCCUUCAGGACCAGAGGGCUUUCCAGG